This 712-nucleotide ribosomal RNA is filed under the name uncultured cyanobacterium. RNAcentral describes it as "bacterial SSU rRNA". It matches the Rfam family "Bacterial small subunit ribosomal RNA", at positions 66 to 822 of the family's 1533-position model. The record is from RNAcentral. Lineage: Bacteria; Bacillati; Cyanobacteriota.
ACGGAGUAGAAAUACUUAGUGGCGGACGGGUGAGUAACGCGUGAGAAUCUGCCUUCAGGACGGAGACGACAGUUGGAAACGACUGCUAAGCCCCGAUGAACCGAAAGGGAAAAUAUUUAUAGCCUGAAGAUGAGCUCGCGUCCGAUUAGCUAGUUGGCGGAGUAAAAGCCCACCAAGGCGACGAUCGGUAGCUGGUCUGAGAGGAUGACCAGUCACACUGGGACUGAGACACGGCCCAGACUCCUACGGGAGGCAGCAGUGGGGAAUUUUCCGCAAUGGGCGAAAGCCUGACGGAGCAAUACCGCGUGAGGGAGGAAGGCUCUUGGGUUGUAAACCCCUUUUCUCAGGGAAGAACAAAAUGACGGUACCUGAGGAAUAAGCAUCGGCUAACUCCGUGCCAGCAGCCGCGGUAAUACGGAGGAUGCAAGCGUUAUCCGGAAUGAUUGGGCGUAAAGCGUCCGCAGGUGGCUUUGCAAGUCUGCUGUCAAAGCUCAGGGCUUAACCCUGAAUCGGCGGUGGAAACUGAAAGGCUAGAGUGCGGUAGGGGCAGAGGGAAUUCCCAGUGUAGCGGUGAAAUGCGUAGAGAUUGGGAAGAACACCAGUGGCGAAAGCGCUCUGCUAGACCGCAACUGACACUCAUGGACGAAAGCUAGGGGAGCGAAUGGGAUUAGAUACCCCAGUAGUCCUAGCCGUAAACGAUGGAUACUAGGCG